This 540-nucleotide ribosomal RNA is filed under the name Photobacterium swingsii. RNAcentral describes it as "bacterial SSU rRNA". It matches the Rfam family "Bacterial small subunit ribosomal RNA", at positions 998 to 1533 of the family's 1533-position model. The record is from RNAcentral. Lineage: Bacteria; Pseudomonadati; Pseudomonadota; Gammaproteobacteria; Vibrionales; Vibrionaceae.
CGCUAGAGAUAGCUUAGUGCCUUCGGGAACUCUGAGACAGGUGCUGCAUGGCUGUCGUCAGCUCGUGUUGUGAAAUGUUGGGUUAAGUCCCGCAACGAGCGCAACCCUUAUCCUUGUUUGCCAGCACAUAAUGGUGGGAACUCCAGGGAGACUGCCGGUGAUAAACCGGAGGAAGGUGGGGACGACGUCAAGUCAUCAUGGCCCUUACGAGUAGGGCUACACACGUGCUACAAUGGCGUAUACAGAGGGCUGCCAACCAGCGAUGGUGAGCGAAUCCCAGAAAGUACGUCGUAGUCCGGAUUGGAGUCUGCAACUCGACUCCAUGAAGUCGGAAUCGCUAGUAAUCGUGGAUCAGAAUGCCACGGUGAAUACGUUCCCGGGCCUUGUACACACCGCCCGUCACACCAUGGGAGUGGGCUGCACCAGAAGUAGAUAGCUUAACCUUCGGGAGGGCGUUUACCACGGUGUGGUUCAUGACUGGGGUGAAGUCGUAACAAGGUAGCCCUAGGGGAACCUGGGGCUGGAUCACCUCCUUAACGA